UACCUGGUUGAUCCUGCCAGUAGUCAUAUGCUUGUCUCAAAGAUUAAGCCAUGCAUGUCUCAGUGCAAACUGAACUAAAGUGAAACCGCGAAUGGCUCAUUAAAUCAGUUAUGGUUCCUUGGAUCCUACUUAUCCUACAUGGAUAACUGUGGUAAUUCUAGAGCUAAUACAUGCAACUUGAGCCUGGCCCGGAAACGGGCGAGGCGCACUUAUUAGAUCAAAAUCAAUCGGUCGGUGCGCGCGGGUUCGUCCCGCCGCCCGGCCGUCGUUUUUGGUGACUCUGGAUAAACCACUGCUGAUCGCACGGCCUCCGCGCCGGCGACGUAUCUUUCGAAUGUCUGCCUUAUCAACUGUCGAUGGUAGGUUCUGCGCUUACCAUGGUCGUAACGGGUAACGGGGAAUCAGGGUUCGAUUCCGGAGAGGGAGCCUGAGAAACGGCUACCACAUCCAAGGAAGGCAGCAGGCGCGCAAAUUACCCACUCCCGGCACGGGGAGGUAGUGACGAAAAAUAACGAUACGGGACUCAUCCGAGGCCCCGUAAUCGGAAUGAGAACACUCUAAACCUUUUAACGAGUACCUAAUGGAGGGCAAGUCUGGUGCCAGCAGCCGCGGUAAUUCCAGCUCCAUUGGCGUAUAUUAAAGUUGUUGCGGUUAAAAAGCUCGUAGUUGGAUCUGUGUAUCGGACGGUCGGUUCGCCGCUCGCGGCGUUUUAACUGACCGGUCCGGACGUCCUGCCGGUGGGCGGCGGUCGGGGGUUCGGGGGUCGAGCGGUUCGCCGCUUCGGUCUCUGUUCCUCUCCGCCGCCCGUUAACCUUCCCUUCGGGCUGCUCUUAACCGAGUGGCCCGGUGGGCCGGCACGUUUACUUUGAACAAAUUUGAGUGCUCAAAGCAGGCCUUACGUCGCCUGAAAACUGUGUGCAUGGAAUAAUGGAAUAGGGCCUCUUUUCUAUUUUGUUGGCUUUUCUGAAACAGAGGUAAUGAUUAAUAGGGACAGACGGGGGCAUUCGUAUUGCGACGUUAGAGGUGAAAUUCUUGGAUCGUCGCAAGACGGACGGAUGCGAAAGCGUUUGCCAAGAAUGUUUUCGCUAAUCAAGAACGAAAGUUAGAGGUUCGAAGGCGAUCAGAUACCGCCCUAGUUCUAACCAUAAACGAUGCCAGCCAGCGAUGCGCCGACGUUCCUCCGAUGACUCGGCGCGCAGCUUCCGGGAAACCAAAAGCUUUUGGGUUCCGGGGGAAGUAUGGUUGCAAAGCUGAAACUUAAAGGAAUUGACGGAAGGGCACCACCAGGAGUGGAGCCUGCGGCUUAAUUUGACUCAACACGGGAAACCUCACCAGGCCCGGACAUCGGGAGGAUUGACAGAUUGAGAGCUCUUUCUUGAUUCGAUGGGUGGUGGUGCAUGGCCGUUCUUAGUUGGUGGAGCGAUUUGUCUGGUUAAUUCCGAUAACGAACGAGACUCUGACCUGCUAAAUAGGCGCCGGAAUCUUUUAACUGCUGCCGGCGUCCUAAAUCUUCUUAGAGGGACAGGCGGCUUCUAGCCGCACGAGAUUGAGCAAUAACAGGUCUGUGAUGCCCUUAGAUGUUCUGGGCCGCACGCGCGCUACACUGAAGGAAUCAGCGUGUGCUCCCUGGCCGAGAGGCCCGGGUAACCCGCUGAACCUCCUUCGUGCUUGGGAUCGGCCUUUGUAAUUAUCGGCCGUGAACGAGGAAUUCCCAGUAAGCGCGAGUCAUAAGCUCGCGUUGAUUACGUCCCUGCCCUUUGUACACACCGCCCGUCGCUACUACCGAUUGAACGAUUUAGUGAGGUCUUCGGACCGGGCGCGUAGCUCCCGCAAGGGCGCGACGCCGCUCGGAAAGAUGACCGAAC
Molecule: ribosomal RNA, 1865 nt
Filed under: Caudatella hystrix
Lineage: Eukaryota; Metazoa; Arthropoda; Insecta; Ephemeroptera; Ephemerellidae
Description: SSU rRNA
Rfam family: Eukaryotic small subunit ribosomal RNA
Source: RNAcentral